UUAUAUUUAUUUCUAGAUAUCGAAAUAAAAGAGAAGAGGAUUGUAUUUUCUCUCGAAUUUUAAGAUAAUUUUAAGGGAUCAAAUAAUUUUUCAAAAUUCUCUUUCUGUAAUUUAUUUAUCAAAGAAUUCGAAGACUGUGUUAACAAUAUAUACACUCGAUCCUGUUUUCGUUUUAAAAUCGAACCACCACCAUCUCUUUCAACUUCCGCCUUCCCAUCAACGGGUGUCUUUCAUUCGAUCAGUGAACGGUUUCUUCUUCGACAGACAAGUCGUCGCCACGUAUUGGACAUCGAGGUCAAACAUCAAAUCCCACAAUUCGAUGCUCGAAAAAACGUAUAAAAAAAGUAUUUUGCUUCGAGAACGAAUGGAUAAAAUUAUGCAAUCGAUAUCGUCAAAUUUAUUUUCAUAUUUUCUUCAAUUUUUCUCCUUGAAAUAGUUCUGUUGAAUACUCUAUGUAUCAAAAACCUGAAGUCAUUCAACUUUUGAAUAAUAAUAAUAAUCUAAUAAUUACCUAAAUCAUUCCUUUUGAUUUCAAACAAUCAUAUCAAAUAGCGACGAUCAAUCAGAAUUCGAAUCUUUCGAUCCGUGGAGAGGCUCUCAUUCGAGGGAAUCGAUCAGUAUCUCAGCUCUAACAUUCAUUCAUUGGCGUGGAACUAUUGCACGUUCGCUCACCACCCACGUACACCAUCGAACCCAAUGUCAUCACAUUAAUUUUCAUCGUGGCACGAUUACAAGCUUUGCAGAAAUAAUAUUAUUCGAAUCCGUGUCGGAAGUGUCGAUUAUUUUGUUUUCGUUUCUCGCGUAAUUUGGUUUGUGUCAUUGGUUUGUGUAUUGUUGUCAUAAACAGUGUAUAAAAGUAAAUGGAAGAGAACUAUUUUGAAUUUGGAUUGGAAUCGUGUUCGCUGGUUUAUUUUGGUUUCGUGUAUCGGAGUGUAACAAUGUGUCGCGGCGUAUCAUCAUUUGUGAUUUGUAAUUGCCUUGGAUCGGAGAAGUAAGAAGAAGUAUGGGUGAACGUGGAAGAGAAAAUUCUGUAUGUAAUGAUGCCGAAUGAUGCGCAACUUUUGUAGCUGCGAAACGACGAUACGCGGAAAGCCGAUACAUCGGCCGUCCCACUUCGACGCCAGUGAAAACGAGAGCAUUGUGUUCCUCGGAGAGCAGCGACGGGGUGGUCGACCGACCGGAUAUGGAUGGGAUGAGGUUUGUUACGCGGAAACACGGAGAAAAUGGCGCCAGUAGAGGGAUUGUGCAACGUAGAAAUCGCGUGUUUGAUAGAAAAUGGGCUAGCACUCUGCGUGGCAUAGGUAUUUUUUUAUCUUCGAGAGAAAUAUUUUCGUAAGUGGUUGAAAAUAAUUAUUUACUAUUUAAUAUUCUCGUAAAUUUUCGUUCUAUAUUUUGACACUUUUUAUUAUAUUGUUGUCUCCAAUCAGUAUAUAUAUAUUUUCUCUUUAUUUCCAACUUGUACGUUUUAUUAUAAUUCUGCACGCAUUUCUCCCUCGAGAUACACUAUUCAGAGACAAAAGGGAUGCGGCGUAAAUACGGAGAUGAAAAAUACCCCACAUAUUUCCCCGGUAACCCUUGAACUUUGACACUUGCAACGUUUCAGGUCGUCCAGGCGAAUGAGAUCGUCGGUUUAAUAUUCUUUCGAAGUUUUAUCAUAACGAACGUUAUAAUGGGGAAAAUGGAAACGAAAAAGAAAAGGAAAUUUCAUUUCGGAGUCGACACUUGGGUUCCCUCGUUUUUUCUACAACAUGCUUCUUUCGGCAAAUUCGAUUUAAAAAAAUGUGCAGAAUUCAAUUAAUAAAGGGUGAUACUUAUUUAACCCUCGAGAAAAUGGUUAUUCACGAAAAGAUGAUGCAACUCUUUCGACGAUUAAUAUACAACAACCUAACCUAAACUGUUAAUAAACAACUUUUAUUCAAUGUAAAAACCUUGACGACAUCGAAGGAACAAUGAUUUUAACUUUUAAAGGAAUAUACGAAAGAUAUAUAUUUUGCUAAUUGAAAAAAAUUAGUGAAUUGUUACAAAUUCAAACUCAUUUGUAUGAAAUGAUCUAUUUGUACAAGAAUCAUAAGAAUCAGAAAAAACAAACGCGGGACGUUUUCAUUAUUUAUACAAUCCUCUAUCCACGAGAAGCAACCAGGAAGGAGUUUUUGAAAAAUAGGCGUGGAACAUUUUUAUUAUUCUCACCUGCAUAAAUCUUCGAUCCGUGAAGGGAAACAGGACGAAAGCUGCGGCGCUUCCGCCGAGUUACUUAGUUACACCCACGUCCGAUCCUUAAAGGAUUAAUACAUUGCGAAACCCGCGUACACGCAUGAAUCUGGUCUUUAUGAGCUCGAGACCUCAAGUGUGGCCGGGUGGUCCCGAAUUUUACCGGCGCCACGUUACGUGUCGAGCCAUCUGCAACGUUCGCCUCAGGCCGAUAUACGUGUUAUGCUAAUUGUUCCGAAUACGCCGCCAUAAAUAUUUUUUAUUACGUUCCACCGCGGACAAAGAGGUAUCGCGAGAGGGUACACGACGAGACGAGAAGAAGUUACCAUUUACAGCUGCCGUUUUGAAUCAUUGUGUCACAUUGUUCGUCCGCGAUUGAAUUUUCUCGUACAUUUUUAAUCUUUUUGUAAAUCUGUUUCUUUAUACGUAAUAUUAUAAAGGAGGGAUGAAACUCUUUCACCAAAAAAGGUACAAACUAGAAAACGAGACAUUCAUUCCACUAUCUUAAUCUCUUUCAAACGCUGCGAAAAAAGAAAGAAGACGAUAACAACAACGAAAAGAAGAAGCAGAAAAAUCUAAUCCCCGUUUCGCAUCCUCCACGUAUUCUUCCCAUGUAUCGUUGCAUCUUACGAGCGAGCCAACAUACCCGCCGAUUUCAUUGUAGCGCGCUCUUGUAUCUAAAUUAAGCGCCGUGUCGCACAAUCGUGCCCGUACGCGGAAACGUAACAUUUGUCGCGCUUAAUUUGCCGGCGUCCCGAUUAAAGAACGUUCUUUCGCCUCUUUAUCGAAGCUGCGAGGCCUUAACGAGGCGAGGAGAGCCACGAAACCGCUGAUACCGUUCGAAUUAGAUACCGUGGAGUGAGGGAUCAGAUAAGCGGGGGCUCUUUAUUGGCCGCCAAUUACGGGCGCAUACGUCGAAUGCGGUGGCGCUUUACCGUUGAUCCUCAAUUAGUUAACGAGCGAGUUUUCCCUCGUUUUCGACCGGUCGAAGAAAGCCGGAAAAAUGGGUCCGGAUAUGAUAUAUACAACCCUUUCGCGAGAAGGUUGCGCGCCACGCGUGCUAUCUCUCUUUCCCUUUCUCUCUCCUCUUAGCGGUAAUUAAGAAUCCACGAGUGACGUUUUACCGUUGCUCGACCGUUGUUUCGCUUCUUGUCUCGUGCGGUAGCGUGAGCUGGAUUUCAUGUCUUGUUGCUUUUCGGAACUCGGCAACGGGAACUCCUCCUCGGGUUUGGGGAACUGGGUUGGCUGGUGUCUCGAGGCCGGAAAGUGUGUGAUUAAGAGGUAGAUGGGAGGAUUGGGUGUUGGAGAUUGAAUUAAUUUUGUUUAGACGAAGUUUUUUUCCAUAUAGAUUUCACACGUGAACAAGAAUUGUAAUUGCCUGUAAAUUUUAUUCGCGUGAAGGGAAAUCAUCCUGUCUUAUCGUCAUCGAUAAAGUGCAAAUUCUUAAAAUUGCUCGUAACUUCGCGAUAUCCUCCCCCGAUAAAAUUUGCAACGAGUUCGAUCACGGAAUUAAUUUCACGAGUUUUCGCACGGAAACCAGUACUCUCGCUACGGAACUUCAUUACGUUGAAUAAUUAUGAGCUGCGAGAAAAUCCGGUUUACAUUGGAAAUUGAGAAAGAAACGGCGAGAGGAGAAAAGAAAGGAAGAAAAAUAGAAGAAAGAAAGAAAGAAAUCGAGGUAGAUGGCAGGCUCGAUACCGCUUCCAGGACUCGUUCUCCCUCCCCCUCCCCUCCCCGUCGAAAAUAUCGGGCUUAAUUUAUGCCCCGUAAUAGCACUGUCUCUAAUUCCGCUCCGUAGUGCGGCUAUGCGAUCAGCAGCUUCUUUUAAAACGGCGGCGGAACCAACACGCCGACGGUUGCGUGCGCCUCGCUCGAGUUCGACGAAGGCCCCGGAUAGGGCUCCUCGCAGCGCGUAUAUUCGCGCGGGUACACGAUAGCAGCACGGCCUGCAACCCCCUUGAUUUAUUUAAAUCGAAAGCGUGCCAUUAAUCUAGCGCGAAACGGUGCAGGAGCGUAGUAGCGCGCUGGUAACGAAUCCCUCCAAGACUUGGAUCGUGCGUGGCAGUAACACGGUUCGUCUUUGAGCUCGUCGAUAGUUAUUCAACGCUUUGCAUAGUUGGAAUUUUUGACGAUUUGCUGGAUGAUUGUUAUAGGGAGUUUUGUUCGAUCCUGAAUAAAAUGAAGUUUUGAAUGUUGUUGAAAUUGUUUGAUCCUGAUAGAGAAUAAAGUGAGCUUCAAUGGUAAGGUGUUAGAUACAAAAUGAUGUAGUGAUUCUAAUGUAUUAUAAUUAAAUAUCCUGUUUAUAGAUGUAGCGAUAGGUUGUGUUUCAUGAUAGAUUUUCAGAAUAUUGAGAGACUGAAACUUCACUUUCAAUUGGGACAAUUUUUUCCCCAAUCAAUGGCGUUUAAAUCGACUUAUCUGAAUCUAGCAAAUUACCGCAUUCACUGGACGAGAUGGCCGAUAAAUUCUCAAACAAGUUUAAUAGCUAAAUAUCGUUUCAACGUGUUUCCGAUAAGAAAGACAAACUUUAUUUCAAUAAUACCAAAGCAAUUCAAGUUUUAAUCCCGUUCUUAAUCCUCUUAUUCAGAAACAUCUUUUCAACGUUGUGUAUCCUUUUCCAAGUUUCCUCAAACUUUCCACUUGUAAAACACACCAAUUCUCAUUACGAUUAUUCGAUCCAAUCGAGUCUUGAGCAAACUUAUCCAAACUUCUUCAAAUUCUCCAAUUUAUAAAUAAACGGAAUAAUAAAAAGGGAAAGAGGAAUCUCUACAAACGUCGCGUUCGAUUCCACGAAAGUUGCCACGAGGGACAAUACUCGAUACACGUACUCUCCCUCCCCUCCCCCUUGAUCCCAGAUAACUCGAAUCGAGGGAAAAAAUCGGGAUCCCCUUCGUCCGCUGGCUCGUGUGCUAUUUUAAACGGUACGAGACACGCCGCUCGCGCGUAUAUAUACAUAUGCACGUGUACAUCUCAUUUGAAUAUGCGUACACGCAAGUGGCCGUACGCGGCGAGACGGCCCGGGCUCCGUUUACUAAUGAACUGUAUUAUUCGCGAUAUACACUCGGCCGGAUUUACAUUAACACGGCUUUUAUUGCAUUUCAUUAAAUCGCCUCUUAGAGGUGCCACGGGCACCGACGACGAGCCACGGGUUCGUCGAUCGCCCAAGUACCAAGUUCCCUUUAAUCCUGACUAAUUGCCCGGGCCCGAUAACCAACCACCGCUCGGCUUUGCCCCGCCAUUCGUCGCCUCCUCGAAUUAUCGCCGAGAAAAAUGAUCGAGCGUCAAUUUUUACCUGACUUAUUAUUUAUUUGAGCAUUUCUUUCUUUCUCUUUUUCUUUUGGUUCGAGGAAAGUGACAAAAUUUCGCGAAUAUAAUGGAUAAUAUAAUUAUUUGUUAAAAUAUUAUCCAAUUGACCAAUUUCGUCUAAUCGGAUAUUACACGAUUUUUCAUUAAGCAUCCUAUCACUUCCAGAUCUCCACAUUGUCAAAAUUCUUCCCGCCUUGGAACUUUCUCUUCGCGGGCGUAUGUACAUAGGGUGUCCUAUAACAACCAAUCAUAGGGAGUGAUUAUACGUGAAAAUAUAUAAAAUAGAAUUUUUUAGGAUUUAAACGAUUUUAAGCGCAAUUGAAGUUGGCACUCUGAUGAGAAGGUUGUGAUAAUAAAACGAUUCUCUGAUGGAUUAAUUUUGACAAGGGAGGCAAGGAGCCACGCUCGAUUUCACGGUUCCGUGAUCAUUCGAGCCGUGAUCUCUCUGGAUCAACCGCGGUGGGGUAAUCGGCUGUCUAAUCUACGUGGAAAUUAAUCAUUGUCAACGGUGCGACGUUGGCUUGUCGAAUUGUUCGGACAAAUUCGUAGCGAGGUUUCAUGCGUCGUUUGCCGGAAGUACGAAACAAGGUAUCAACGUCGCAAGGAACACUCGGUUUCGAUCGUGAAACGAAUCCUGUUGCACUCGAAAUCGGUCGCCACGGAAUAGAACUCGCCGCUGGAGCGAAAAAAAAAAGAAAAAAAAAUGGACGGCGACAAGUACCGUUAAGCCUCUAAUUAUCAGUCUAGUUUCUCAUAAAUCAACUGACCGCGCCGCUGUCACGUAACGUAGCGCCGUUCCCGUGUACCACAGCGGCAGAAAAUUUCUUUACAAGUCGUAACUGUGACUCAUUAGCGCCGCCUUUUCACAAGGAUCGGCUGGAAACGGCCGAUAAUGGCCCUCGCUUGCUUCGCAGACUACGACGUGGCCGGAGGUCGUUUUAUUUAUUUAUUUCGCCUCCUGGUUCCUCCAUUGUUCCUCCUCCAUUGGCCGAGUUGUUGGCUUGUUGCGACGAUCGAAUUGGGGAUAUUUGCGAGGAUGGAUUCGAUUCGCAUUUUCAUUUCUCUUCUUCUCUGUGAGUUUAGUAUCUCCGAAAAGAUUAACUAGCAUUAAAAAGAUGUAAGAUUUUUGGAUUUUGAUGUCAUCAAAGAUCUAAGAUGAUCACUGGGAUGUUCGAGUAAAACUUUAUUAUCGAUAUGAGAUUUAAUUUUUUACGCGCUACUUACGAUUUUGAAAAAUUGUAUAUAACGAAUUGGCAAGAAAUGGUGUUUUUUUAUUUUUUUUUACUCGAAAUGAAAACGUCAUUCCUCUCGGCAAUUGGUCGUAAUAGGGAUUCUUCUCUACCCUUCCCUUCCCUUAAGCGGACGUAAAUUCAAGUUUUGUGCUUUUAAAGAUAUUUAUCAAGAUUUUUAUUUUCCCGCUGUCACGGUAACCGCGCAUUAAUCGACGCAUAAAUCAUCGUCUUGUCGUUGCCUCGUUACGAUUGCCGUAAUAUUUUUUAACGCACAACGAGAAGGAAUAUAAAAAAAUAGCGUAGAAUCGACGCGCACCGUCCUCCUUGUAAUUUUAGCCUGUCUGUUUCGACGAUGAAAUACGAUUGCCGCGUAUUUCGGACGAAAGUCUUGCGGCUUAAGGCGCGUUUAGACCGGCCCACCACCGCAACAUUGUGAAUAUUUCGGGCCUUGCCGGGCAAGAAACGAAUUUUCACUUUCUCCCCUCUGAAGUAAAUAAGUGAAGUAAAUAAUUUCAUCGUAAUUAUGUUUUAAUCGCGUCAAACUAUAUUUCAAUUGAAUAAUUUAAAUGAUUUAAAAAACGUAGAACAAACAGCAAUUCUUAUUACACAGCAUUGAAAAAAGUUCUCUCUCUUUUCUUUUAAAAAAGAUACAAGAAUUCGUUAAUUUCGUGGAUCUCGUUUAUUAAAAAAUGUUAUCACGAUGAACAAUAACAAUACUUCGUUCAAGAUCGAAUGGAAAAUAUAUAAAGAACAAUUAACACACCUACCUCAAACUUGAUCUAACUUAGUCCUACGAUUCAGAUUUCAACUCGCAUCAUACGGGAAGAGAAAGUGAGAUAAAUUUCUUAAUAGCCAUUCUAUUAUAAGCCAAAAGAAAGAGAAUUAACAGAUACGCAUAAAACAACAGUAAAAUGUUGCUACUCGAAAGACAAGCGACACACAACUUCAAAAUCGACGGGUCCCCCACGGGUUCUCUGGGACUAGUUCAACUUUCCUACGCGUGUUGUUGGGUCCUGAUUUAUCGAGUUGCCCGUGGACGUUUGCAUUCAAUUAAACCGUAUGAAUUCUCCAAUCUUUGAACUUUUCAAAGGGGGCGGCCAUCAAAAGGCAUAAAUCUCGGGCCACUUAGUGUCCUUUUAAAAUUUCCCCGGGCUCGAAUCGCGGGCAUUACUCAUUAGAUCCGCGUCGUCUAAACGCGGCUUUAAACCCCAAGUUAACGCAAGUCGAAAUAUCAUUGAGCGCCGCCGUAAAUCAUGCUGGCACGCACUAAAUUGCCGAGUCCCAUUUUGUCGGGAAACGGUGCGGAGGAAACGACAAUCGGACUAACUUAGAGGGACAGGGAGGGGAGGACUUUGUGAUUUAUAUCACGAAAAUGAUCAUAGUUGGCCCUCUGCAAUUUUUUAUUUCCUCUCACUCGACGAUAACAAAGUGGUAAUUUACCACUUUAGAAUACAUAAUUAUGAAUUUAAUGAAAAUAGAAAUAUAUACGUGUGUUACGUAUACAAUGCAUUUAUUUCGCAUUUCAUUGAACGGUGAACUUCGAGAACGAUGAAUUUUUCUUUAAAAAUUUUUCUCCAAGAUUAUGGAAUAAAACACUUUUUCCAAAAAAAAGAAGAAACGAUUCGCAAAUAACUCGCGAUCGUUCUCCUCCUGAAUUACCCAAUUUCCAGCAAGUUGAAAACAAAGUCAUAACCGUCGUCACGACGCGUUUCACCAAAAAAUACGCACCUUGAAUGGAGCCAACUGCGCAAUAUUCGCGGAACCAAAGAAACGCGCACCAACGAACGAACAUGGAAAUUCGCUCGUUAUUCUCUCUCUCUUUCUUCCCUACGAUCCCUCUCAAACUGAGAACCGACACAUCGCCACCCACUCGUAUCAGCUUCUCGCGACUCACUCUGCGAAAGAUGGACGAUACAUCCGAGAGGGUAGCGAGCAACGAAUCGGCAGAAUUUCAGCGGAAUAAUGGAGUGUAUCCUGGUGUUGCAAUAAUGAUACAGCUACAACGGCUACGUGUUUAUCUUGCCCGAUUGAAUCCACCGAUGAAAAAUGACCACGGUGUUACCAAGGGGGUCGUCCAGCGGUGUGAUCAUUGGAAUCGAGUGAACGGGCUCCAGAGGCGGCAUUAUCGCGCUUUAUUGUCAAUGUUGGCUCGUGCGCGUGCAGGUCCACCGUGGGAUGUUCCAUCGUGGGAAGAGGAGGCGUAAUAAGUCGAAAAGCCGGGGUUGCGUUUCUUUUAUUCGUCAUUUUUUCGAUCCUUCCUUUUCGACCGUUCGAAUUCUCUUUUUUAUUCCCUCCCUUUCUCUUUUUCUCCGAGGUUGAGCCAGAUGGGUUUGCGCACCUUUCGAGAGCUGGUUCGUGACUCGGAUCGAAAAUAAUCCGGGAAAAAACGGCGAAAGAAACCGAUCGAAGCUGAGUUUCGGGAAGAUUCAAGAUGACAGGAGCGAUUAAACCUGUGGUUAUGGAUUUUAUAUUUUUUUUUAUUAAAAUCGUAAUGUUAGUUUUCGAUUCGUCGUUUCUUACGAAUUUCUUUGCAGGUGUUCCUCUGUGCAAAUAUCGUUAUGGAUAAAAUUAAGGAAAUUUGUUUAGAUAACGUGUGAUAUAUCUAG
Long non-coding RNA from Apis cerana (Asiatic honeybee), 9352 nucleotides. RefSeq lists it as uncharacterized. Lineage: Eukaryota; Metazoa; Arthropoda; Insecta; Hymenoptera; Apidae. The record is from RefSeq and is a predicted model, not a curated record.